RNAcentral lists this ribosomal RNA (301 nucleotides) under uncultured bacterium. RNAcentral's name for it is "partial 16S ribosomal RNA". It matches the Rfam family "Bacterial small subunit ribosomal RNA", at positions 509 to 807 of the family's 1533-position model. The record is from RNAcentral.
CAGCAGCCGCGGGAAUACGUAGGGUCCGAGCGUUGUCCGGAAUUAUUGGGCGUAAAGGGCUCGUAGGCGGUUUGUCGCGUCGGGAGUGAAAACUCAGGGCUCAACCCUGAGCGUGCUUCCGAUACGGGCAGACUAGAGGUAUGCAGGGGAGAACGGAAUUCCUGGUGUAGCGGUGGAAUGCGCAGAUAUCAGGAGGGACACCGGUGGCGAAGGCGGUUCUCUGGGCAUUACCUGACGCUGAGGAGCGAAAGCAUGGGGAGCGAACAGGAUUAGAUACCCCGGUAGUCCCUGUCUCUUAUAC